AAGGAUUAAAAAUUAAUAAUAAGCCGCCUAGCUACCCAAAAAGAAGAGGUAGGGUCUGUGAGAACAUGAACUUUUCGCCCCUCCCUUGCUGUACAAUGGUUCCCGGAACAUUCUUGCAUGAAAGGUUUCCUGGAACAGCCACAAUGACCCAUAGCCUCCGGCCACAAUGGUCCAAUGGCCCUGUAAAAUGUCACUACCCCUAAUCACAAUGUCACAAAGUCCUAAAUUGUAUGGGCAGUUUAUGGUUUUGGAAUUCCCCUCCUCCCUCCCUCUUGAUCCCCCUGGUUUGUGGUUUUUUCCUUUAUAAGCUCUGUGAAAAUUCAGGUCGGGGUCGAACUCCUCUACUCCCUGUGUGGCGUAUGAGUCUCGACCCCAGCAUGCUGGCCUGAGCUCUCGUUUCAUCUCGCUCACAAUAAAUCUUCCUCGUGUGAUUACAGCAGGUCGGUGUCUGUGUCCUACUGGGUGCGCGUCUUUCCCGAGACUUGAGUGGGGGGCUCCCUUCGGGGGUCUUUCAUUUGGGGGCUCGUCCGGGAUCUGCGCGACCACCCAGGGGUCCUAGACCCACUUGGAGGUAAGAUUCUCUGUUUUAUCUCAGCGCUGUGUCUGGGUCUGUGUCUAUGUUCUGUCUGGGAAUCUGGUGCGAUCGCUGUUUCGGUUUUGCGGACGCUCAGUGAGACCGCGCUCCAGGAAGGAGAGCGGGGUGGAUAGGGAUAGACGUGUCCAGGUACCCACCGUCCGUUCGCCCUGGGAGACGUCCCAGGAGGACAAGGGGGGACCAGGGACGCCUGGUGAACCCCAUCUGAUAGGUCCAGAGGAGACUUUACUCCUUGACGACCGGUUUGUUAGGCAAGGUCUGCGACCUGCCGAUCAGUUUCAGUGCCUCUGGUCGACACGAAGUCGACGUCGGUUUUGUUUUUUUUUUUUUUCUCUUUGUUUGUGCUCGUGUGUGUGAGUGUGUGUGAAUUAAGUCCUGUAGUCUGUGUUUUUCGGUACCGGUUUAAGGUCUUAGUGCACUGUCUGGGCAGAUGAAGGAUUCCUGCCCUGUGCACGAGAGUCUUAGUGCACUGUCUGGGCAGAAGAAGGUUUCCUGCCCUGUGCACGGGUGGAAGAAGGUUCCCCACCCCGAAAUGGCGCCUGUGAGUAGAUGAAGGAUUCCUACUCCGAAUAGUCUUUUUCUUUCUUUUUUUCCUUUUUAGAAAGCGCACCGGGGGACGCCCCAAUCGCGCAGGCUCUGGGACUCGUGAGAGACGUUCCAUGAGUCAGCCUUUGUUGGGUCCUGGCUCUGGGACGCGUGAGAGAUGUUCCUCGAGCCGAAUUUUGUCGGGAGGACCCGGCAACGGACAGUCAAAAAGAUCUGACUGUGACUUUGGAGGUCGAGUUCGGCUGCCUAUUUAAGUAUAGGCACGGACAAGUGUGCUUAGAUGUGUUAGUGUCUGUUGUCUGUAUUCUGUUUCUGUGUUUGGUAUCCCAGAAGCAGCUAAGGUUAAGCUGCAGUUUGGGCCAGGUACUGAAGGUACCAGGCAUCUGUGGAAAUUGGUUAUAGGAUGCUUUGUCUUGGUCUUGUUUGUCUGGAUUGUUUUCUGUGGUAUUGUCCAGCGUUUUUUUGACUUUUGUUUCGUGUUUGAAUUUGGACUGAAGACCGUGUUUAAAAUCUUGGACUGACGACUGUGUUUGAAAUCAUGAAACUGUUUGCUUUGUUCGUCGAAGAGUUUUACUUGGUCCCCUUAACGCUUAGUGAGUAAGAAACUUAAUUUUGUAGACCCCGCUCUAGUGGCAGUGUGUUGGUUGAUAGCCAAAGUUAAUUUUUAAAACAUAGUGUUUUGGGGGUUGGGGAUUUAGCUCAGUGGUAGAGCUCUUGCCUAGCAAGCGCAAGGCCCUGGGUUCGGUCCCCAGCUCUGAAAAAAGGAAAGAAAAACAAAACAAAAACAUAGUGUUUUAUCUGUGCUUAUGCUCGCAGCCAGCUGUGAUGAACUGGGAAAGAUUUAAAUUUUGCUUGGGAGCAAAGAAUCUUAAAGGCAGAGUUUCAGCCGGUAUGACACGUAGUGCAUAACUGCCUAAAAGAUCAGAAAUGCUGUUAAUAGGCUAUAAAAAAGGGACAGGCUGUGUUAGAAAUGCUACAGAAGAAUAAUCUAAAAAGGCUGAGAGCUAGGUGGGGCUAUAAGGAAAACAAGAACAGGAAAGGAAUUUCUGACAUUUGCUCACAGAAGGAGAGUGCUCAUUUAGAGAAGUUCUUUAAGGAAGCCUGCCUUAUCUGCUGUCUUUAUUCCAAGGGAGGAGUCAGUCUCCAGCACUAAAUUACUUGGAGGUAGCCAAGGUCAGGAUUAAUGUUUUCUUUUCCAUGGGCCUUUAAACCCAGUGAGACAGUUUGGUAAAGGGCUACUACUGAGGUCCUGAUAGCCCCAGGUGAACUGGUUACAAUUCUUUUAUCAGCCCCCUGGCAUCUAGCAACCAGGUUCUAACCAUCUCUCCAUCCUUUUGUUAUUAGUUGUUACUAGAAGCCUAGUGUCAUUUGGAGGCUGGUUUUCUUGAGAGGCAAAGCCAUGGAGCUGACACCGACAAUGGCCUUUUUGUUCCAAGAAAGGCCUCCUGGUUUAGCUGUGUGACUAAAUGCUGUUUGCCCUCUUCGGUAGACUCUAUUCUCAAGAUUCUCUUGUUUUCUCACCAUCCCAUUUGAUAUGCUUGUUAGUAACUGUUACAGGUCUUCUUUACCACCGAUGAAAGACGGAAUCCUACUGGAGACCAGAAAAAAAGGGUUCCAACACGCAUAGAAGGCCCUCACUUCUGCCUGCUCUCUUCAUACCCCUGAAGGUAGGGAGUGCUCCAGGUCUGCCCCCAGGCUCCAAGGGUGGGUCUCCUAGGGGCUGGAAAAUGCCCCACCAAUCUGGCUAAGAUAAGGAAAAGAUAUGAAGAGAAAGUUACAGAAACUUGAAGGGUUAAGCUAAGUCGCUGAGAGAGUUAUUGUAAGUUGAUGCAUGGUUCAGGGUCUGUGCAGAAAAGUGGACAGCACCUAAUAGCUGUAGAAGAAGAUGCAGAGAGACAGAAAAAAAGAAAGAAAGAAAGAAAGAAAGAAAGAAAGAAAGAGGUAAAGAGUGCAGGAAGCUAGGGAAGAAAAGAGACUAAAAGAAGAGGAAGCUAGAGAGCUAAAGAGAGAUAAAAGACAAGAGAGGAACAUAUACUGGCCACAGUAGUUAGGGAACCUAGGAAGACAGUACCUGGCAACAGAAGAGAAUUCCUGGCUAAAGAUCAGUGUGCCUAAUGCAAAGAAAAAAAAAAAAAGACACUGGGUCAGGGACUGCCCCAGAAAGAACAAGAGGGGACACUGGAGAGCCUCUUGGUCCUAGAGUGCUGGCUAUGUACAGAGAUAGAAGGGAAGUGUGGAUGCAGGGACCCAAUGCUCUGUGCUCCUAUGCCCCCCUCCAGUGGGCCAGUAUCCAAAGACCUUGGGUACAGGGGCCUACUGGCAACAAACAAUACUUAUGGACUGCCCGAAGAACAGUGGACCUUGGCGUGGGCCGGGUAACCCACUAGUUCAUAGUCAUCCCUGACUGCCCCUAUCCCUUGCUCAUGAGAAAAUUGCUCUCCAAAAUGGCUUGCGUGGGCUGAAAUGGCUGGGUGAGGCCAUGUGUAUGCAUAUCUACAGACUGUGUAUGCGGAGCUUAAGACCUGUCUCAGUGCACCAGUACCUGAUGCUGGGAGACGAAUGGCUUAGCGCUGUUCUACUUGGAACAUAUCACUCCUGCCAGCCGGGCACUAACAAUUAUCACCCAAUCCAGGACUUAAACUGUGAUAGAGUGGCUGAUGUUCUGCCUUUGAAUAGAGUGUCCCAAAAGAUGGGACCACUGGUCAGCUGCCAUGGACUAGAUUCUCCACCGGUUGGGGACAAUCUGGUCACCUUGCUGCCCAAUCCGGACCUGGAGCCACCACAGCACGAGUGUCAAGUACUGGCAGAAGCCCAUGGGUGGAGGAAAGACCUCUGCGACUGGCUGAUUGACCCCUGCUGAAAGCCGAGGACCUUGUCCACAGACGGGAACAGUUCUCUUCAUGAAUGAAGUACAUCAGCACUGCAGAUGCCUUUACCAUCUCUUGGAUGCCCUGGUGAAGCCAACAACUGUGAGUACUAUUCAUUGCUCAGGAUAUCAGGAGGGAAGAGAUUCAGUGACAUGGGGCAAUAACGAAGCAGAUAAAGUGGCUCGAAAAAUGGUUAUGCAGGAGCCCAUCCUGGUUGCAGGCCUGCAAGAGACAGCCACUGGGAACUGGGAUCGGACUAAGGGAUGGCCUCACUUAGAAAAGGCCCAAAUUGCUUAAAAGAUAAAGGACAAUGGCACAUUGAGGGGAAAGCUAUACUUCCCAGAGAACAAAGAAAAGACUCACUUUGCCAAAUACAGAAAUGGACUCAAUUAGGAGAUAAAAAGUUUGUCCAAGUAGUUAAGUGUAUGUAAUAGACGUUAAGAUUUUAGCCAGAGAGACAGUAGAAAGUAUAAGGUAUGUCAAUAAGUGAAUGCUUAGCAAGCAAACAGGGCAAAGAGACCUAGAGAGUUUGGUGAAAAGUCGAAGUGAACUUCACUGAGAUAAAACCAGAAAAAUAUAAUCACAAGUAUCUCCUAGUGCUUGUAGAUACUUUUUCAGGAAUAGAUAGAAGCUUUCCUCACCAAACAAGAGACGGCCUCUGCAAUCAUCAAGAAGAUACUGGAAGAAAUCUUCCUCCGAUUUGGAAUGCCCAAGGUAAUCUGGUCAGACAACGGCCCUACUUUCGUUGCCAAGGUAAGCCAGGGUGUGGCCAAGUAUUUAGAGGUCAAUUGGAAAUUACAUUGUAUCUACAGACCUCAAAGUUCAGGAUAGGUAGAGUAAAUAAAUAGAACUCUAAAAGAGACCCUGACCAAAUUAACCAUGGAGACUGGCACAGACUGGGUGACACUCCUUCCCUCUUGCUCUCUUCAGAGCAAGAAAUACCCCUUCCAGAUUCAGCCUUACCCCCUUUGAGAUCUUAUAUGGGGCCUCAGCCCCCCUGACUGUAUUAGAUGAUGUUACUGAACCAACAUGUCAUAGUGCCAUAGUAAUAAUGAUUUGUGUGCCAGGCUAAAAGACCUACAGGUGAUACAGAAAGAAAUCUGCUCACAGCUGACAGCAGCCUAUGCCCCGGAGACCCCUGAGACAUCCCAUCAGUUCCAGGUUGCAGCUACACUGAGUCCAGACACUCGAGCCUCGCUGGAAAGGACCGUACCUGGUGCUGCUGACCACCCUGACAGCUGUCAAUUCUCAGCCCUCACCAGCCAUGUACUAGCUGUUGGGGCUGAGAGCUGAGAGCUAGAGGGAAACUCAGUCUUGUUUGUCCUGGGUUCUAUCAAGAUAGGUGUGGGAUAGGCUUGAUUUCCAUUACAAAUGAUGUAACAUUGCAUAUGUUAGUACUCCUAACACUUCUUGGGACUGUGCCUCAGGGAUCACAGUCCGUAUAAGCUUAGAAGUUCUAAAAGCUAGUCAUGACCUUGGUGGAUAGGCUUGGAUCGUGUCCAGGUUAGAAUCCUCAUGUUAAGACUACAAUACCAAGCUGUUAUGCUAGAUGAAGCUGAGUUCUCCAUGAAGUUCUAGGAUUAGAACUAUUAACAAAAAGAAGAAGUGGGGAAUGAAGGAUUAAAAAUUAAUAAUAAGCCGCCUAGCUACCCAAAAAGAAGAGGUAGGGUCUGUGAGAACAUGAACUUUUCGCCCCUCCCUUGCUGUACAAUGGUUCCCGGAACAUUCUUGCAUGAAAGGUUUCCUGGAACAGCCACAAUGACCCAUAGCCUCCGGCCACAAUGGUCCAAUGGCCCUGUAAAAUGUCACUACCCCUAAUCACAAUGUCACAAAGUCCUAAAUUGUAUGGGCAGUUUAUGGUUUUGGAAUUCCCCUCCUCCCUCCCUCUUGAUCCCCCUGGUUUGUGGUUUUUUCCUUUAUAAGCUCUGUGAAAAUUCAGGUCGGGGUCGAACUCCUCUACUCCCUGUGUGGCGUAUGAGUCUCGACCCCAGCAUGCUGGCCUGAGCUCUCGUUUCAUCUCGCUCACAAUAAAUCUUCCUCGUGUGAUUACAGCA
Molecule: non-coding RNA, 6062 nt
Organism: Rattus norvegicus (Norway rat)
Lineage: Eukaryota; Metazoa; Chordata; Mammalia; Rodentia; Muridae
Source: RefSeq, a predicted model, not a curated record